This 671-nucleotide ribosomal RNA is filed under the name uncultured bacterium. Its description in RNAcentral is "bacterial SSU rRNA". It matches the Rfam family "Bacterial small subunit ribosomal RNA", at positions 61 to 747 of the family's 1533-position model. The record is from RNAcentral.
GUCGAGCGGAAAGGCCCUUUCGGGGGUACUCGAGCGGAGGACGGGUGAGUAACGCGUGAGUAAUCUGCCCUGGACUCUGGGAUACCCACCGGAAACGGUGAUUAAUACCGGAUAUGACCACUCUAGGCAUCGAGUGGUGGUGGAAAGUUUUUCGGUCCAAGAUGUGCUCGCGGCCUAUCAUCUUGUUGGUGAGGUAAUGGCUCACCAAGGCUUUGACGGGUAGCCGGCCUGAGAGGGUGACCGGUCACACUGGGACUGACACACGGCCCACACUCCUACGGGAGGCAGCAGUGGGGAAUAUUGGACAAUGGGCGGAAGCCUGAUCCAGCAACGCCGCGUGAGGGAUGACGGCCUUCGGGUUGUAAACCUCUUUCAGUACCGACAAAGCGAAAGUGACGGUAGGUACAGAAGAAGGACCGGCCAACUACGUGCCAGCAGCCGCGGUAAUACAUAGGGUCCGAGCGUUGUCCGGAAUUAUUGGGCGUAAAGGGCUCAUACGCGGUUUGUCGCGUCUGGAGUGAAAACAGCGGGCUUAACUCGUUGCUUGCUUUCUAUACGGGCAGACUAGAGGUAUGCAGGAGAGAAUGGAAUUCCUGGUGUAGCGGUGAAAUGCGCAUAUAUCAAGAGGAACACCGGUGGCGAACGCGGUUCUCUGGGCAUUACCUGACUCU